RNAcentral lists this ribosomal RNA (462 nucleotides) under uncultured bacterium. Its description in RNAcentral is "partial 16S ribosomal RNA". It matches the Rfam family "Bacterial small subunit ribosomal RNA", at positions 339 to 795 of the family's 1533-position model. The record is from RNAcentral.
CUACGGGCCGCUGCAGUCGAGAAUCUUCCGCAAUGGACGAAAGUCUGACGGAGCGACGCCGCGUGCGGGAUGAAGGCCUUCGGGUUGUAAACCGCUGUCAGUGGGGAGGAAAUGCAUCAGGGUUCUCCCUGGUGUUUGACCGAUCCGCAGAGGAAGCGCAGGCUAAGUUCGUGCCAGCAGCCGCGGUAACACGAACUGCGCGAACGUUAUUCGGAAUCACUGGGCUGUAAAGAGUUCGUAGGCGGCCUUUCAAGUCGGGUGUGAAAUCCCUCGGCUCAACCGAGGAAUGGCGCCUGAUACUGUUGGGCUUGAGGGGGAUAGGGGUGAGCGGAACUGAUGGUGGAGCGGUGAAAUGCGUUGAUAUCAUCAGGAACACCGGUGGCGAAGGCGGCUCACUGGAUCUCUUCUGACGCUGAGGAACGAAAGCUAGGGGAGCGAACGGGAUUAGAUACCCUCGUAGUC